AUACGAAGGGGGCAAGCGUUGUUCGGAAUAACUGGGCGUAAAGCGCACGUAGGCGGAAUGUUAAGUUAGAGGUGAAAUCCCAGGGCUCAACCCUGGAACUGCCUUUAAUACUGGCAAUCUAGAGACCGAGAGAGGUGAGUGGAAUUCCGAGUGUAGAGGUGAAAUUCGUAGAUAUUCGGAGGAACACCAGUGGCGAAGGCGGCUCACUGGCCCGAUACUGACGCUGAGGCGCGAAAGCGUGGGGAGCAAACAGGAUUAGAUACCCUAGUAGUCC
RNAcentral lists this ribosomal RNA (274 nucleotides) under uncultured bacterium. RNAcentral's name for it is "partial 16S ribosomal RNA". It matches the Rfam family "Bacterial small subunit ribosomal RNA", at positions 523 to 796 of the family's 1533-position model. The record is from RNAcentral.